Molecule: ribosomal RNA, 84 nt
Filed under: Miscanthus sinensis (eulalia)
Lineage: Eukaryota; Viridiplantae; Streptophyta; Magnoliopsida; Poales; Poaceae
Also listed under: 2 other names
Description: 5.8S ribosomal RNA
Rfam family: 5.8S ribosomal RNA
About the family: 5.8S ribosomal RNA (5.8S rRNA) is a component of the large subunit of the eukaryotic ribosome.
Source: RNAcentral
CACAUGACUCUCGGCAACGGAUAUCUCGGCUCUCGCAUCGAUGAAGAACGUAGCAAAAUGCGAUACCUGGUGUGAAUUGCAGAA